RNAcentral lists this ribosomal RNA (607 nucleotides) under Arthrobacter sp. AL24. RNAcentral's name for it is "bacterial SSU rRNA". It matches the Rfam family "Bacterial small subunit ribosomal RNA", at positions 45 to 664 of the family's 1533-position model. The record is from RNAcentral. Lineage: Bacteria; Bacillati; Actinomycetota; Actinomycetes; Micrococcales; Micrococcaceae.
UGCUUAACACAUGCAAGUCGAACGAUGAUCCGGUGCUUGCACCGGGGAUUAGUGGCGAACGGGUGAGUAACACGUGAGUAACCUGCCCUUAACUCUGGGAUAAGCCUGGGAAACUGGGUCUAAUACCGGAUAUGACCUUCCAUCGCAUGGUGGUUGGUGGAAAGCUUUUUGUGGUUUUGGAUGGACUCGCGGCCUAUCAGCUUGUUGGUGAGGUAAUGGCUUACCAAGGCGACGACGGGUAGCCGGCCUGAGAGGGUGACCGGCCACACUGGGACUGAGACACGGCCCAGACUCCUACGGGAGGCAGCAGUGGGGAAUAUUGCACAAUGGGCGCAAGCCUGAUGCAGCGACGCCGCGUGAGGGAUGACGGCCUUCGGGUUGUAAACCUCUUUCAGUAGGGAAGAAGCGAAAGUGACGGUACCUGCAGAAGAAGCGCCGGCUAACUACGUGCCAGCAGCCGCGGUAAUACGUAGGGCGCAAGCGUUAUCCGGAAUUAUUGGGCGUAAAGAGCUCGUAGCCGGUUUGUCGCGUCUGCCGUGAAAGUCCGGGGCUCAACUCCGGAUCUGCGGUGGGUACGGGCAGACUAGAGUGAUGUAGGGGAGACUGG